AAAGUCGUGACAAGGUCUCCGUUGGUGAACCAGCGGAGGGAUCAUUAAAGAGUUGCAAAACUCCCAAACCAUUGUGAACUUACCUUCAACGUUGCUUCGGCGGGUUGGCUCCGGGUCUCCCGGGGUCCCCCGGCCCUCACGGGCGCCCGCCGGAGGUAUCUAACUCUUGAAAUUGUAUGGCCUCUCUGAGUGAUUUAUAAAUAAGUCAAAACUUUCAACAACGGAUCUCUUGGUUCUG
This 238-nucleotide unclassified non-coding RNA is filed under the name Ascomycota sp. Its description in RNAcentral is "partial contains small subunit ribosomal RNA, internal transcribed spacer 1, and 5.8S ribosomal RNA". The stretch from base 1 to 47 matches the Rfam family "Eukaryotic small subunit ribosomal RNA", at positions 1785 to 1831 of the family's 1831-position model. Lineage: Eukaryota; Fungi; Ascomycota. The record is from RNAcentral.